ACUUCCACCGGGAACCCGAGGUGAAAAUCGGUUCUCAUCCCGCUCCCCGGGCUCAGGAAGUGGAUCUUCGGUGGUGGCGCCGGAAAUACACUGUCUGCAGGGGCACGGUUUCCGUCUGCAUGGCCGUCAGUGCUGUAGCCGCCACUCCUAUCUCCGGUGAGCUCUCUCCUUCUCUCUUCUUCCUCUCCAAUGGCAUCAUGAUGGACAGCUCGUCGAGGCAGGCCGUGGCGAAGGGGUGCGACAGCACGCUGCGGCGCGUGUCGAGCACCUUGUUGAAAUGGCGCACGGCCUCGCCGGGGAGGCCGGCGUCCAGCGCCGCCACCGCGGCGGCGGCGGAGGAGCUUCACGUGCGGCAGCAGCUGCGACACGGACUCCGCCCUUGUAUUGGCGGGCGCCAGCAGGUUCGACGGGGGCAAGAAGCGGCGGUUGGGCAUGUGGUGGCGGAGCGAGUGGAGGUCCCCGCCGGGGCAGAACUCCGUGACGACGCAGGAGAAGUGCGGCGCAGCGUCGAAGUCGGCGAAGAGCGUGGGCAGGACUUUUAUUUAGAUUUCGGUUCCGAGCUGCUGCUGCUAGUGCGUGAGCCAUCGGUCGAUAAUUUCCGGAACAGAACACCUCUUGUGCCUGUUCGAGAAGUUCUGACGGGACUCUACUCCACGUGGCUCUUCCGUGCCCAUAAAAUUAGUGGAGUCUAGAUUCGAUCUGGACACCGCGUUGAAUCGGUGGUGGAUGUAAUGAAAGAAGGCCGCCCAAUGCCGCGUGAGCUGAACGGAGCCAGACGAGCAGGAUGAGGAGGACGAGGCGGUGGUGGCGUCGUCGGCCGAGCACGACUUGGCGCAGUAGCUGGGGAUGUAGUCGCAGAGCAUGUCGGCGACGUCACGGUUGCGCGAGGAGAGCCCGCGCCCGGAGCUCCAGCGCCGCGCGAGUAGCUGACUCGUACGACGCCGCGCGAGCAGCUGUCGUAGCUGCAGCAGAAGCUCAUUCGGCGACCAUCAUACACAAGCAGCCGCUCCUCCUUUGCCUGGAAGAAUGCUCGGAGUGGUACAAGGUUCGGAUGGCGCAGUCGGCCAACAACAUCCAUGUUCUGCUCGAACGCCUCUGCUUCCCGUGCUGCUGGGCCAAUCUCGGCGGCGUCCAGCCUCUUCAUCGCAAUCAUGGCGUAGACAAGAAGCGCGGCGAGGACAGACCCGGCAGCGACCGCGACGGCCAAUUUGGUCAUCCUCCGCCUCGCUCUCUUCGCAUUUGGCACGGACGAAUCCGGCACGCUCAGGUUCUCCUGCUGCGGCCCGCUGUCGCUAGCAGCAGCGUCUGCACAGGGGGAGUGGCGGUACCGUUCGCGCCGCCCCCGUGGAAGAAGAGGAGGUGGGAGCCGCGGCGGACCACUUCGUCGCAAAGGUUGGCGUCGAGACGGAGGAGGGUGAGGUGCAGGAAGGCGGCCUCGAGCGGAGAAUCGAGAAGGUGUUGUUUGACUGCGUCCUCUUCUUCGUCCGGCUGGAAGGGGUGCUCGGUGUCGGCGUCGGCGGGGCAGGGCGGUAGCGGUGGAACUGCGACCCGAGCAGUAACGGCGCUGAAGACGGGAACGGUGGCUGCCCUGACUGAUCCUCACGGUGGAGGAUUAAUCACUGUCGAACGCGUCUAAGAGAGAGCUCAAGUCCAUAUCGGCGUAUGUGCGUUGUGUGAAUCUCUAAAUCAUCCAAGACCUCGUCUACGCCUCUAUUUCGUUGAAGCCGAACUUGUCGCGUUUUACAAUGGCAAAAGUCUCCGCCAAACAUGGUUUCCGUGGCCUCUGUUCUCCAUCGUUUUCUUUCAUUAAUCCGUGAAUCUCAAUUCUCACUCGUGAUCCACCGAGAGCGAGAGCGUUGUAAAGAUAGGUUGGAACGGUAACAUGAGGCCAGUGUGACAAAGCCCGUCAAUCUUGUCCCCCACGGGCCACGACAGACCCUUCCUGAAGCCCAAUCGGCCCGCACGCAAAAAACCCUCACGCGUAUUAAGCCAUCCCCCUCACCACCUAGGGUUUCCUUUUACAGCCGCCGCCGACGCCGCCGCCGACACCGACGCAUCUCUCAGCCUCCCCGCACUCGCUUCCGUCGCCGCAGCCGCCACUUCGCAGCCAUGGGUAAGGUGCACGGAUCGCUGGCCCGCGCCGGGAAGGUCCGCGGGCAGACGCCCAAGGUGGCGAAGCAGGACAAGAAGAAGAAGCCCCGCGGCCGCGCGUACAAGAGGAUGCAGUACAACCGCCGCUUCGUCACCGCCGUCGUCGGCUUCGGCAAGAAGCGCGGGCCCAACUCGUCCGAGAAGUAGGCGCGACGCCGUUGGGCUCGCAUGCCUAUGCCUAUGCUCUUGCUCUUCCUGGUAGUAGUUUUCGUUGUGCAAGCAGAAGAAGAUCUUUUUUUGUUGUUGUUCCAGUCUCAGUUUCGUGCGGUGAGAUGAGAGCUUGAGAUUAUAUGUCAACCUCCUUAUUAAUCGAGGAUGAAUUUUUGAGAUAUGAUGAUACGUGGCAAUGACUUCUUGCCCCUUUUUGCAUUCUUUGUGAAAUGUUAUGCAAAUAGGUGGGUUAAAUCA
RNA transcript from Zea mays, 2559 nucleotides. It is a transcript of the gene named 40S ribosomal protein S30, with no coding region annotated. The record is from RefSeq and is marked validated. The transcript is spliced from 3 exons. NCBI's taxonomy places the organism in Eukaryota, Viridiplantae, Streptophyta, Magnoliopsida, Poales, Poaceae.